UACAGAGGUCCCGAGCGUUGUCCGGAAUCAUUGGGCGUAAAGAGCGCGCAGGCGGCUUGGCAAGUCGGGUGUGAAAUCCCCGGGCUCAACCUGGGAAUUGCAUUCGAAACUGCGAGGCUAGGGUACGGAAGAGGGAAGCGGAAUUUCUGGUGUAGCGGUGAAAUGCGUAGAUAUCAGAAGGAACAUCAGUGGCGAAAGCGGCUUCCUGGUCCAGUACCGACGUUCAGGCACGAAAGCGUGGGGAGCAAACAGG
This 253-nucleotide ribosomal RNA is filed under the name uncultured bacterium. Its description in RNAcentral is "partial 16S ribosomal RNA". It matches the Rfam family "Bacterial small subunit ribosomal RNA", at positions 524 to 776 of the family's 1533-position model. The record is from RNAcentral.